This 468-nucleotide ribosomal RNA is filed under the name uncultured bacterium. Its description in RNAcentral is "partial 16S ribosomal RNA". It matches the Rfam family "Bacterial small subunit ribosomal RNA", at positions 28 to 507 of the family's 1533-position model. The record is from RNAcentral.
GACGAACGCUGGCGGCGUGCUUAACACAUGCAAGUCGAACGGAAAGGCCCUGCUUUUGUGGGGUGCUCGAGUGGCGAACGGGUGAGUAACACGUGAGUAACCUGCCCUUGACUUUGGGAUAACUUCAGGAAACUGGGGCUAAUACCGGAUAGGAGCUCCUGCUGCAUGGUGGGGGUUGGAAAGUUUCGGCGGUUGGGGAUGGACUCGCGGCUUAUCAGCUUGUUGGUGGGGUAGUGGCUUACCAAGGCUUUGACGGGUAGCCGGCCUGAGAGGGGGACCGGCCAAAUUGGGACUGAGAUGCGGCCCAGACUACUACGGGAGGCAGCAGUGGAGAAUGGUGCACAAUGGGCGGAAGCCUGAUGCAGCAACGCCGCGUGCGGGAUGACGGCCUUCGGGUUGUAAACCGCUUUCGCCUGUGACGAAGCGUGAGUGACGGUAAUGGGUAAAGAAGCACCGGCUAACUACGUG